This is a non-coding RNA of Saxophila tyrrhenica, 89 nucleotides long. The record is from the annotation of a RefSeq genome assembly. Lineage: Eukaryota; Fungi; Ascomycota; Dothideomycetes; Mycosphaerellales; Extremaceae.
GGGCGUGUAGCUCAGUGGUAGAGCGCCCGCUUUGCAUUUGCUUUCUGCUCAUGUGCGGGAGGUCUUGGGUUCGAUCCCCAACCCGUCCA